UCCAUCAAUUUUAAAUGUUCAUUUAUGAAAAAGAGAGGCUAACUACUUUAAUAUUUCAAACCGAAAUAAAAAUUCGAAAUAACCGAACCGAAUUUGUAAAAACCGAAUCAAACCAAAUUUAUUUCGAUUUGAUUAUGGAUGUCAUUUUUAUCGAUCCAAAAAUUGAUAAAUCGAACCGAUAUUAAACAAUCAGACCAAACCGAUCGAACACCCCACCCCUACAUAUAUACACCAACACACACCUCACAUACGGAGACUCCUCCUCCUUCAUGAGAGAACCCACUGGAAUUUUUAUUUUUUACACAAUACCCAUAUAGAUAACACACAUAGAUAUAGCCAUAGACACUGAAAGAAGGGGAAAUUGAAUCAUCUUCUCCAUUAUAUCAUAUACGCGCACACACACAGAGCACUCACCAGUGAGAGGGAAAGAUCGAUAGAGAGGGAGAAAGAAGUGAAGAGUUAAAAUCAGAGGAGAGCUGAGAGAGGGAAGAGAUCGACGAUUGAGAGAUUUGUCGCCGCCGUAGCUCUGGUGAAUACCCAACAAAAACCAAUCAAAAACAGUUGGGAAACCACCAAAUCCGACCCCUCGGCGCCGAUAUCGGCGACCAUCCACCGAAAAGCGCCGAAACCCACUGGUGAGCAACCGAAAUCGGCUCAAUCAGUCUUGAUUCCAAUGAAACCAGUCGAAAAAUGAUUGCAACAGUAACGGGAGCGAGAAUUUGGUACGGAUUUAUCUUCGUUUUGCGGUUUUUAAUUUGGGUUGAUGAAAAAAAUAGAAAAGUGGGUUCUCCGGGAUUGGAUUGGGUUCGCAUUAAGGUUCAGUUUGAGGUUUGGCGGCGCUCAAAUCAAGUAAUCCAAUUUGAUCACAAUAAAAUCGUCAAUUGAGGGAAUGCUCUGCAAGAUUUUGUAUUCGGAAGGACGUUCUUGAUGAAGGCCCAGGGCAUUGGGUAAAACAUUGGAGCAUAGUUUAGGAUUAGUGUAGGUUACCUUAGGAUUUAUAUUUUCGUAUUUUUCUAUUUUGGACUGUAUAAUUGGACUAGACACUAUAUUUUGAGUUUGUUUUGUUUUGUUUGUUUGAUUGAUUGUUAUA
Capsicum annuum is the source of this 1090-nucleotide long non-coding RNA. RefSeq lists it as uncharacterized. The transcript is spliced from 2 exons. NCBI's taxonomy places the organism in Eukaryota, Viridiplantae, Streptophyta, Magnoliopsida, Solanales, Solanaceae. The record is from RefSeq and is a predicted model, not a curated record.